ACAGAUUUGGUGGCAGCGGUCUUGUACACCCUGUUACCUCGGGUUAGAAAGCCUGAGAAACUUCUAACCUUCGAAAGAACCCACGCCUGAGAACGUGGGUUUUUUC
RNAcentral lists this non-coding RNA (106 nucleotides) under Escherichia coli. Lineage: Bacteria; Pseudomonadati; Pseudomonadota; Gammaproteobacteria; Enterobacterales; Enterobacteriaceae. The record is from RNAcentral.